This 133-nucleotide unclassified non-coding RNA is filed under the name soil metagenome. Its description in RNAcentral is "partial internal transcribed spacer 1". The record is from RNAcentral.
CCGAGUUAUACAACUCCCAACCCCUGUGAAUUAUACCUUUAAUUGUUGCUUCGGCGGGACUUCGCGCCCGCCGGGGACCCAAACCUUCUGAUUUUUUAAUAAGUAUCUUCUGAGUGGUUAAAAAAAUGAAUCA